RNAcentral lists this unclassified non-coding RNA (26 nucleotides) under Mus musculus (house mouse). Its description in RNAcentral is "oocyte_clustered_small_RNA5199". Lineage: Eukaryota; Metazoa; Chordata; Mammalia; Rodentia; Muridae. The record is from RNAcentral.
UGGAUAGUCUCUAUAUAGUAAAGGAG